RNAcentral lists this ribosomal RNA (257 nucleotides) under uncultured prokaryote. RNAcentral describes it as "partial 16S ribosomal RNA". It matches the Rfam family "Bacterial small subunit ribosomal RNA", at positions 521 to 777 of the family's 1533-position model. The record is from RNAcentral.
UAAUACGGAGGGUGCAAGCGUUAUCCGGAUCUACUGGGUUUAAAGGGUGCGCAGGCGGAUAUGUAAGUCAGUGGUGAAAUCUCCGGGCUUAACCCGGAAACUGCCGUUGAUACUAUAUAUCUUGAAUGCUGUGGAGGUAAGCAGAAUAUGUCAUGUAGCGGUGAAAUGCUUAGAGAUGACAUAGAAUACCUAUUGCGAAGGCAGCUUACUACGCAGAUAUUGACGCUCAAGCACGAAAGCGUGGGGAUCAAACAGGA